GUGGGGAAUAUUGGACAAUGGGCGAAAGCCUGAUCCAGCCAUGCCGCGUGUGUGAAGAAGGUCUUCGGAUUGUAAAGCACUUUAAGUUGGGAGGAAGGGCAGUAAGUUAAUACCUUGCUGUUUUGACGUUACCGACAGAAUAAGCACCGGCUAACUUCGUGCCAGCAGCCGCGGUAAUACGAAGGGUGCAAGCGUUAAUCGGAAUUACUGGGCGUAAAGCGCGCGUAGGUGGUUUUGUAAGUGGGAGGUGAAAUCCCCGGGCUCAACCUGGGAACUGCCAGCAAAAAUGCAUGACUAGAGUACGGUAGAGGGUAGUGGAAUUUCCUGUGUAGCGGUGAAAUGCGUAGAUAUAGGAAGGAACACCAGUGGCGAAGGCGACUACCUGGACUGAUACGGACACUGAGGUGCGAAAGCGUGGGGAGCAAACAGGAUUAGAUACCCGUGUAGUCC
RNAcentral lists this ribosomal RNA (450 nucleotides) under uncultured bacterium. RNAcentral describes it as "partial 16S ribosomal RNA". It matches the Rfam family "Bacterial small subunit ribosomal RNA", at positions 354 to 796 of the family's 1533-position model. The record is from RNAcentral.